This 284-nucleotide long non-coding RNA is filed under the name Gallus gallus (chicken). Its description in RNAcentral is "long non-coding RNA NONGGAT001829". Lineage: Eukaryota; Metazoa; Chordata; Aves; Galliformes; Phasianidae. The record is from RNAcentral.
GGGGGCCUGACCCCCCCCUAUGGCAGGGGACAGCUGUUGGGGGCCACCGCAGAGCACCAUCCCCUGUCAGCCCAUCCCGAGCACCCAGGAGGCCACUGGCACCCAUCAACCAUGUAGGCUCCACCGCUGGUCACCAUGCACCAGGGCUGCGCGGCUGUCCUCUGUGUCCUGGCCGUGCUGGGGCUGGAGGUGGCUGCGCUGGGGGAAUGUGAGCUCGCCCGCCUGCUGCAGGACAAGCUGCGGUAUGAGAUGCGCCUGCAGUACAUGGUACGGCCCUGUCCCCU